This 253-nucleotide ribosomal RNA is filed under the name uncultured bacterium. RNAcentral describes it as "partial 16S ribosomal RNA". It matches the Rfam family "Bacterial small subunit ribosomal RNA", at positions 524 to 776 of the family's 1533-position model. The record is from RNAcentral.
UACAGAGGGUGCGAGCGUUGUUCGGAAUUAUUGGGCGUAAAGCGCUUGUAGGUGGCUUGUUAAGUCGCGUGUGAAAGCUCCAGGCUCAACCUGGAAAGUGCGCGCGAAACUGGCGAGCUUGAGUGCCGGAGAGGGUCGCGGAAUUCCCAGUGUAGAGGUGAAAUUCGUAGAUAUUGGGAGGAACACCAGAGGCGAAGGCGGCGACCUGGAAGGUAACUGACACUGAGCAGCGAAAGCGUGGGGAGCAAACAGG